Molecule: ribosomal RNA, 492 nt
Filed under: uncultured bacterium
Lineage: Bacteria
Description: bacterial SSU rRNA
Rfam family: Bacterial small subunit ribosomal RNA
Source: RNAcentral
ACUCAAAGGAAUUGACGGGGGCCCGCACAAGCAGUGGAUUAUGUGGUUUAAUUCGAAGCAACGCGAAGAACCUUACCAGGGCUUGACAUGGAAUAGACAGAGGUAGAGAUAUCUUUUCCCUUCGGGGCUAUUCACACAGGUGGUGCAUGGUUGUCGUCAGCUCGUGUCGUGAGAUGUUGGGUUAAGUCCCGCAACGAGCGCAACCCCUAUUGUUAGUUGCUACGCGAGAGCACUCUAGCGAGACUGCCGUUGACAAAACGGAGGAAGGCGGGGACGACGUCAAAUCAUCAUGCCCCUUAUGUCCUGGGCUACACACGUAAUACAAUGGCGCUAAACAGAGGGAAGCGAGACCGCGAGGUGGAGCGAAUCCCCAAAAGGCGUCUCAGUUCGGAUCGCAGGCUGCAACCCGCCUGCGUGAAGUCGGAAUUGCUAGUAAUCGCGGAUCAGCAAGCCGCGGUGAAUACGUUCCCGGGCCUUGUACACACCGCCCGU